Molecule: transfer RNA, 76 nt
Filed under: Allomeiothermus silvanus
Lineage: Bacteria; Thermotogati; Deinococcota; Deinococci; Thermales; Thermaceae
Also listed under: 3 other names
Description: Meiothermus silvanus tRNA-Thr
Rfam family: tRNA
About the family: Transfer RNA (tRNA) molecules are approximately 80 nucleotides in length. Their secondary structure includes four short double-helical elements and three loops (D, anti-codon, and T loops).
Source: RNAcentral
GCCACCCUAGCUCAAUUGGUAGAGCACCCGACUUGUAAUCGGAAGGUUGUCGGUUCGAUUCCGAUGGGUGGCUCCA